GCAUAAGCGCACGGUUCCGCAUGGAACAGUGUGAAAAACUCCGGUGGUAUACGAUGGAUCCGCGUCUGAUUAGCCAGUUGGCGGGGUAACGGCCCACCAAAGCGACGAUCAGUAGCCGGCCUGAGAGGGUGAACGGCCACAUUGGGACUGAGACACGGCCCAAACUCCUACGGGAGGCAGCAGUGGGGAAUAUUGCACAAUGGGGGAAACCCUGAUGCAGCGACGCCGCGUGAGUGAAGAAGUAUUUCGGUACGUAAAGCUCUAUCAGCAGGGAAGAAAAAAAGUCCUUUGGACUUUGGACGGUACCUGACCAAGAAGCCCCGGCUAACUACGUGCCAGCAGCCGCGGUAAUACGUAGGGGGCAAGCGUUAUCCGGAUUUACUGGGUGUAAAGGGAGCGUAGACGGCAGCGCAAGUCUGGAGUGAAAUGCCGGGGCCCAACCCCGGAACUGCUUUGGAAACUGUGCAGCUCGAGUGCAGGAGAGGUAAGCGGAAUUCCUAGUGUAGCGGUGAAAUGCGUANAUAUUAGGAGGAACACCAGUGGCGAAGGCGGCUUACUGGACUGUAACUGACGUUGAGGCUCGAAAGCGUGGAGAGCAAACAGGAUUAGAUACCCUGGUAG
This 621-nucleotide ribosomal RNA is filed under the name uncultured bacterium. RNAcentral's name for it is "bacterial SSU rRNA". It matches the Rfam family "Bacterial small subunit ribosomal RNA", at positions 171 to 793 of the family's 1533-position model. The record is from RNAcentral.